GGUAAGGUAUCAUUUAAGUACAAGCAAUUGUGAUGUUGUUUAGCCUGCCCUCAUUAAACAGCAUUUAGUGGCUGCAUUCAACAUGUGAUAGAUAUAUUUAAGUAAUUAGGGAAAUCUGCUAAACAAAGAAAAAUCCCAACACUGCCAGUAUUUAAUAUUGUCUAUAUGAAAGCAACACCUAAAUGCCUUUUAUAAAUACAAGUCUCCAAAUUUGUGUUUUCUGGUUAUCGUCAAAUUUGACCUCCAUUAUAGCCAACAGAAAAAAGGCAGAGGCACGCAAAACAGGUGGCGGUCCACCACCACCACCUCUCACAGAGGCUGAAGAGAUGGCCCUCAGUCACAACAGUGGGCGACCCAUUGCUGAGGGCAUCUCUGGGGGGAGCUCAUCGGACCCAGCCACGCCCCAGGACAUAGGGGCCUACAUAAGAGUUACUGAUGAUGGUGUAAUCUGUCUCGUGGAGCCUUCUGCCAUAACACACCUCCAUGCUGUUGAGGAUGAUGAAGACACCUUAUCAGCUGCCACAGAGAGGGAAGAUGCAGAGAGGCCUGUUGAGAGCAAUGCCGGAAGUUACAAUGAGGAAGAAGGUCCAUCAACCUCCACAGCACAGCUUACCUCAGUAAAAUGUUGUUCAGCAUUGACCCACAAUUUACAAUGACACUAAGUAGACAUGGCACUGUGAAAUUCAACGUAAUUUAUGUUCCUAUAGCUCCCUGUGAAACAACUUUACAAAGUAUAUUUAGAAUCCCAAAUGAACAAAUCACACCUAGAAAUGGAGCACAUAAGGCUGCAGAUCACCAAAACAAAAAAGGAAAUACAACUGCUGGACCAUCAGUUAAAGG
This is a long non-coding RNA of Gadus macrocephalus (Pacific cod), 840 nucleotides long. RefSeq lists it as uncharacterized. The record is from RefSeq and is a predicted model, not a curated record. Lineage: Eukaryota; Metazoa; Chordata; Actinopteri; Gadiformes; Gadidae. The transcript has 4 exons.